UGUAUGGCUUGAGUAUGAGAGAGGUGAGUGGAAUUCCCAGUGUAGAGGUGAAAUUCGUAGAUAUUGNGAAGAACACCGGUGGCGAAGGCGGCUCACUGGCUCAUUANUGACGCUCAGGCGCGACAGCGUGGGGAUCAAACAGGAUUAGAUACCUUGGUAGUUCACGCCGUAAACUAUGGACGCUAGCCGUUGGGCAGCUUNCUGCUCAGUGGCGCAGCUAACGCAUUAAGCGUCCCNCCUGGGGAGUACGGCCGCAAGGUUGANACUCAAAGGAAUUGACGGGGGCCCGCACAAGCGGUGGAGCAUGUGGUUUAAUUCGACGCAACGCGCAGAACCUUACCAGGGUUUGACAUCCUGAGACCGCCGGUGAAAGCCGGUUUUCCCGCAAGGGACUCAGAGACAGGUGCUGCAUGGCUGUCGUCAGCUCGUGUCGUGAGAUGUUGGGUUAAGUCCCGCAACGAGCGCAACCCUCGCCUUUAGUUGCCAUCAUUAAGUUGGGCACUCUAGAGGGACCGCCGGCGACAAGCCGGAGGAAGGUGGGGAUGACGUCAAGUCCUCAUGGCCCUUACACCCUGGGCUACACACGUGCUACAAUGGCGGUGACAGUGAGCAGCUAGUUCGCGAGAACGUGCUAAUCUCAAAAAACCGUCCCAGUUCAGAUUGCACUCUGCAACUCGAGUGCAUGAAGGUGGAAUCGNUAGUAAUCGCAGAACAGCAGGCUGCGGUGAAUACGUUCCCGGGCCUUGUACACACCGCCCGUCACACCAUGGGAGUUGGUUCUACCUGAAGACGGUGCGCUAACCGCAAGGAGGCAGCCGGCCACGGUAGGGUCAGCGACUGGGGUGAAGUCGUAACAAGGUAGCC
This 864-nucleotide ribosomal RNA is filed under the name uncultured bacterium. RNAcentral describes it as "bacterial SSU rRNA". It matches the Rfam family "Bacterial small subunit ribosomal RNA", at positions 634 to 1501 of the family's 1533-position model. The record is from RNAcentral.